GUUUGUGUGGCAGAGCCUGGAAAUUGCAAAAGAUCUAAGACCUUUUAGUCAGAGGUUCAAACCCUCUCACAAACA
This 75-nucleotide transfer RNA is filed under the name Ascaphus truei (coastal tailed frog). RNAcentral describes it as "tRNA-Leu". It matches the Rfam family "tRNA". Rfam says of the family: Transfer RNA (tRNA) molecules are approximately 80 nucleotides in length. RNAcentral also lists the same sequence under 1 other name. The record is from RNAcentral. Lineage: Eukaryota; Metazoa; Chordata; Amphibia; Anura; Ascaphidae.